AUUGAACGCUGGCGGCAGGCCUAACACAUGCAAGUCGAACGAGUGGCGGACGGGUGAGUAAUGUCUGGGAAACUGCCCGAUGGAGGGGGAUAACUACUGGAAACGGUAGCUAAUACCGCAUACCAUCGGAUGUGCCCAGGUGGGAUUAGCUAGUAGGUGGGGUAAGGGCUCACCUAGGCGACGAUCCCUAGCUGGUCUGAGAGGAUGACCAGCCACACUGGAACUGAGACACGGUCCAGACUCCUACGGGAGGCAGCAGUGGGGAAUAUUGCACAAUGGGCGCAAGCCUGAUGCAGCCAUGCCGCGUGUAUGAAGAAGGCCUUCGGGUUGUAAAGUUCUGUCAGCGGGGAGGCGUUACCCGCAGAAGAAGCACCGGCUAACUCCGUGCCAGCAGCCGCGGUAAUAC
RNAcentral lists this ribosomal RNA (406 nucleotides) under uncultured bacterium. RNAcentral describes it as "partial 16S ribosomal RNA". It matches the Rfam family "Bacterial small subunit ribosomal RNA", at positions 30 to 526 of the family's 1533-position model. The record is from RNAcentral.